UGGGGAAUCUUGGACAAUGGGGGCAACCCUGAUCCAGCCAUGCCGCGUGAGUGAUGAAGGCCUUAGGGUCGUAAAGCUCUUUCGCCUGUGAAGAUAAUGACGGUAGCAGGUAAAGAAACCCCGGCUAACUCCGUGCCAGCAGCCGCGGUAAUACGGAGGGGGUUAGCGUUGUUCGGAAUUACUGGGCGUAAAGCGCACGUAGGCGGACCAGAAAGUUGGGGGUGAAAUCCCGGGGGCUCAACCCCGGAACUGCCUCCAAAACUAUUGGUCUAGAGUUCGAGAGAGGUGAGUGGAAUUCCAAGUGUAGAGGUGAAAUUCGUAGAUAUUUGGAGGAACACCAGUGGCGAAGGCGGCUCACUGGCUCGAUACUGACGCUGAGGUGCGAAAGUGUGGGGAGCAAACAGGAUUAGAUACCCUGGUAGUCCACACCGUAAAACGAUGAAUGCCAGUCGUCGGGUAGCAUGCUAUUCGGUGACACACCUAACGGAUUAAGCAUUCCGCCUGGGGAGUACGGUCGCAAGAUU
This 524-nucleotide ribosomal RNA is filed under the name uncultured bacterium. RNAcentral describes it as "bacterial SSU rRNA". It matches the Rfam family "Bacterial small subunit ribosomal RNA", at positions 355 to 895 of the family's 1533-position model. The record is from RNAcentral.